UUUUCUAGCACUGCUCAUCCACAAAUAGAUGGACAAACAAAAAUGGUGAACAAGUUUUUGGGUAAUCUGAUCCGUUGCAUUUGUGGAGAAAGAAAGGGGCAAUGCGAUUUGGCUUUAUCUUUUGCAGAGUUCUCCUACAAUAACUCCAAGCAUAGAUCCACAGGAAGGAGCCCUUUUUCCAUUGUCUACACUAAAGUUCCAACACAUGUGGUGGACUUGGUGAAGCUACCAUCAAGGGGAAACUCAAAAUCAGCAUUGUCCUUUGUUGAUAAUUACACCGAGUUAUUUGAAGAGAUUCGCAGCGCUUUGGAAGCACAAAAUCAAAAAUAUAAACAACUUGCUGAUUGCAAAAGGAGGCCAAAAUCAUUCCAAGUCGGUGAUAAGGUGAUGGUCUACCUCCGAAAAGAGAGGCUGCCUUUAGGUGUUAAAGGGAAACUUAGGCAGCGAAGA
This 450-nucleotide ribosomal RNA is filed under the name Triticum aestivum (bread wheat). Its description in RNAcentral is "partial small subunit ribosomal RNA". Lineage: Eukaryota; Viridiplantae; Streptophyta; Magnoliopsida; Poales; Poaceae. The record is from RNAcentral.